This 478-nucleotide ribosomal RNA is filed under the name uncultured organism. RNAcentral's name for it is "partial 16S ribosomal RNA". It matches the Rfam family "Bacterial small subunit ribosomal RNA", at positions 332 to 801 of the family's 1533-position model. The record is from RNAcentral.
UACACUCCUACGGGAGGCAGCAGUGGGGAAUUUUGGACAAUGGGCGAAAGCCUGAUCCAGCAAUGCCGCGUGUGUGAAGAAGGCCUUCGGGUUGUAAAGCACUUUUGUCCGGAAAGAAAUCCUUGGCUCUAAUACAGUCGGGGGAUGACGGUACCGGAAGAAUAAGCACCGGCUAACUACGUGCCAGCAGCCGCGGUAAUACGUAGGGUGCGAGCGUUAAUCGGAAUUACUGGGCGUAAAGCGUGCGCAGUCGGUUUGCUAAGACCGAUGUGAAAUCCCCGGGCUCAACCUGGGAACUGCAUUGGUGACUGGCAGGCUAGAGUAUGGCAGAGGGGGGUAGAAUUCCACGUGUAGCAGUGAAAUGCGUAGAGAUGUGGAGGAAUACCGAUGGCGAAGGCAGCCCCCUGGGCCAAUACUGACGCUCAUGCACGAAAGCGUGGGGAGCAAACAGGAUUAGAAACCCCAGUAGUCCCAUGAU